UACAGAGGGGGCGAGCGUUGUUCGGAAUUACUGGGCGUAAAGGGCGCGUAGGUGGAUCUAUAAGUCAGGAGUGAAAGCCCCGAGCUUAACUUGGGAAGUGCUUUUGAUACUGUAGAUCUUGAAUGUGGGAGAGGAUCGUGGAAUUCCAGGUGUAGUGGUGAAAUACGUAGAUAUCUGGAGGAACACCGGUGGCGAAGGCGGCGAUCUGGCCCAACAUUGACACUGAGACCCGAAAGCAUGGGGAUCAAACAGG
This 253-nucleotide ribosomal RNA is filed under the name uncultured bacterium. RNAcentral describes it as "partial 16S ribosomal RNA". It matches the Rfam family "Bacterial small subunit ribosomal RNA", at positions 524 to 776 of the family's 1533-position model. The record is from RNAcentral.